UACGUAGGCAGCAAGCGUUGUUCGGAGUUACUGGGCGUAAAGGGCGCGUAGGUGGCGGGACAAGCGUGCGGUGAAAGCCUGGGGCUCAACCCCGGGUCGGCCGUGCGAACUGUUUUGCUUGAGCACUGUAGAGGCAGGCGGAAUUCCGGGUGUAGCGGUGGAAUGCGUAGAGAUCCGGAAGAACACCGGUGGCGAAGGCGGCCUGCUGGGCAGUAGCUGACACUGAGGCGCGACAGCGUGGGGAGCAAACAGG
RNAcentral lists this ribosomal RNA (253 nucleotides) under uncultured bacterium. Its description in RNAcentral is "partial 16S ribosomal RNA". It matches the Rfam family "Bacterial small subunit ribosomal RNA", at positions 524 to 776 of the family's 1533-position model. The record is from RNAcentral.